RNAcentral lists this ribosomal RNA (450 nucleotides) under Tephritomyia interturbans. Its description in RNAcentral is "partial large subunit ribosomal RNA". The record is from RNAcentral. Lineage: Eukaryota; Metazoa; Arthropoda; Insecta; Diptera; Tephritidae.
AAUGAAUAAAAUUUUUAAUGGCCGCAGUAAUUUGACUGUGCAAAGGUAGCAUAAUCAUUAGUCUUUUAAUUGAAGGCUUGUAUGAAUGGUUGGACGAAGUAUAAUCUGUUUCAUAUAAAUUUAUAAUAGAAUUUUAUAUUUUAGUGAAAAAGCUAAAAUUUUUUUAAAAGACGAGAAGACCCUAUAAAUCUUUAUAAUUUUUAUUAUUUUAGUUUUUUUGAUUAAUUUUGUUAUUAUAAUUAAAAUUAUUUUAUUGGGGUGAUAUUAAAAUUUAAAUAACUUUUAAUUUUUUUUUUCAUUAAUUUAUGUUUUAUUGAUCCAUUAAUAAUGAUUAUUAGAAUAAGUUACUUUAGGGAUAACAGCGUAAUUUUUUUGGAGAGUUCUUAUUGAUAAAAAAGUUUGCGACCUCGAUGUUGGAUUAAGAAAUAAUUUUAGGUGUAGAUGCUUAAA